UGAUCAUCAUUCAUCAAUUUCUGCAGCAGUUAAAAGGGGCAGCAGACAGAUGAAUUUGGGGUUAAGAAGAAUCAUAAGCCAGGAAAUGGUUGAAGAUCACAUAUGCCGUUGAAACACUGGCCUCAAAUUAUAUCCGCAUAUGCCACAAUAUGUAAAAGCAAAAUGGAUACUCUAGUAAUAAUUACAAGUUAGUGAUGCUAUAUUUGUAUCAACCUGCACUUGAUGUUCCUCUUACGCUACAAAAUUUAGUUUCUGGCAAACGUUCUCGCUUCCAGCUAGUUAAC
This 284-nucleotide long non-coding RNA is filed under the name Solanum lycopersicum (tomato). Its description in RNAcentral is "partial TCONS_00145848". Lineage: Eukaryota; Viridiplantae; Streptophyta; Magnoliopsida; Solanales; Solanaceae. The record is from RNAcentral.